This 254-nucleotide ribosomal RNA is filed under the name uncultured bacterium. RNAcentral's name for it is "partial 16S ribosomal RNA". It matches the Rfam family "Bacterial small subunit ribosomal RNA", at positions 524 to 776 of the family's 1533-position model. The record is from RNAcentral.
CACGUAGGGGGCAAGCGUUGUCCGGAUUUAUUGGGCGUAAAGAGCUCGUAGGUGGUUCGGUAAGUCGGGUGUUAAACCCCCAGGCUCAACCUGGGGACGCCACUCGAUACUGCUGUGACUAGAGUCCGGUAGGGGAGCGUGGAAUUCCUGGUGUAGCGGUGAAAUGCGUAGAGAUCGGGAGGAACACCCGUGGCGAAGGCGGCCAACUGGGCCGGACCUGACGCUGAGGCGCGAAGGCGUGGGGAGCGAACGGG